This 497-nucleotide ribosomal RNA is filed under the name uncultured bacterium. RNAcentral's name for it is "partial 16S ribosomal RNA". It matches the Rfam family "Bacterial small subunit ribosomal RNA", at positions 28 to 507 of the family's 1533-position model. The record is from RNAcentral.
GAUGAACGCUGGCGGCGUGCCUAAUACAUGCAAGUCGAGCGAACAGACGAGGAGCUUGCUCCUCUGACGUUAGCGGCGGACGGGUGAGUAACACGUGGAUAACCUACCUAUAAGACUGGGAUAACUUCGGGAAACCGGAGCUAAUACCGGAUAAUAUAUUGAACCGCAUGGUUCAAUAGUGAAAGACGGUUUUGCUGUCACCUAUAGAUGGAUCCGCGCCGCAUUAGCUAGUUGGUAAGGUAACGGCUUACCAAGGCAACGAUGCGUAGCCGACCUGAGAGGGUGAUCGGCCACACUGGGACUGAGACACGGUCCAGACUCCUACGGGAGGCAGCAGUAGGGAAUCUUCCGCAAUGGGCGAAAGCCUGACGGAGCAACGCCGCGUGAGUGAUGAAGGUCUUCGGAUCGUAAAACUCUGUUAUUAGGGAAGAACAAAUGUGUAAGUAACUAUGCACGUCUUGACGGUACCUAAUCAGAAAGCCACGACUAACUACGUG